RNAcentral lists this long non-coding RNA (4447 nucleotides) under Homo sapiens (human). RNAcentral's name for it is "HSALNT0366580". The record is from RNAcentral. Lineage: Eukaryota; Metazoa; Chordata; Mammalia; Primates; Hominidae.
CCGCUUGGGUCCCCUUCCACACUGUGGAAGCUUUGUUCUUUUGCUCUUUGCAAUAAAUCUUGCUACUGCUCACUCUUUGGGUCCAUGCUGCUUUUAUGAGCUGUAACACUCACCACGAAGGCCUGCAGCUUCACUCCUGAAGCCAGCGAGACCACGAGCCCGCCGGGAGGAACGAACAACUCCAGAUGUGCCGCCUUAAGAGCUGUAACACUCACCGCAAAGGUCUGCAGCUUCACUCCUGAGCCAGCGAGACCACGAACCCACCAGAAGGAAGAAACUCCGAACACAUCCGAACAUCAGAAGGAACAAACUCCAGACGCACCACCUUAAGAGCUGUAACACUCACCGCAAGGGUCCGCAGUUUCAUUCUUGAAGUCAGUGAGACCAAGAACCCACCAAUUCCGGACACAUUUUGGCGACCCAGAUGGGACUUUCGCCUAUCACCAAGCGGUGAGACCCACCUAUAGCUGAGCGGCGAGACCAUCACCUAUCACCAAGCAAAUCAAGGCCAUCAAGCUACAGAUGGGCUUACAAAUGGAACCCAAAAUGAGUUCAACUAACAACUUCUACCAAGGGCCCCUGGACCGACCCACUGGCACUUCCCCUGGCCUAGAGUUCCCCUCUGAAGGACACUACAACUGCAAGGCCCCUUCUUCACCCCAUCCAGCAGGAAGUAGCUAGAGCGGUCAUCGGCCAAAUUCCCAACAGCAGUUGGGGUGUCCUGUUUAGAGGGGGGAUUGAGAGGUGACAGCAUGCUGGCAGUCCUCAGCCCUCACUCACUCUUGGCACCUCCUCUGCCCGGGCUCCCACUUUGGUGGCACUUGAGGAGCGCUUCAGCCCACCGCUGCACUGUGGGAGCCCCUUUCUGGGCUGGCCAAGGCCAGAGCCGGCUCCCUCAGCUUCCAGGGAGGUGUGGAGGGAGAGGCUCAAGCGGGAACUGGGGCUGCGUGCGGCGCUUGCGGGCCAGCUGGAGUUCCGGGCGGGCGUGGGCUUGGCGGGCCCUGCACUCAGAGCAGCCAGCCGGCCCUGCCGGCCCCGGGCAGUGAGGGGCUUAGUACCUGGGCCAGCAGCUGUGAAGGGUGUACUGGGUCCCCCAGCAGUGCCAGCCCACCGGCGCUGCACUCGAUUUCUCACCGGGCCUUAGCCGCCUUCCCAUGGGGCAGGGCUUGGGACCUGCAGCCCGCCAUGCCUGAGCCUCCCACACCCCCUCCAUGGGCUCCUGUGCGGCCCGAGCCUCCUCGACGAGCGCCACCCCCUGCUCCACGGCACCCAGUCCCAUCGACCACCCAAGGGCUGAGGAGUGCGGGCGCACGCAGGGGACUGGCAGGCAGCUCCACCUGCAGCCCCGGUGCGGGAUUCACCGGGUGAAGCCAGCUGGGCUCCUGAAUCUGGUGGGGCUUUGGAGAACCUUUACAAUCCCUGAGCUAGACAUAAAUACACCAAUCGGCACUCUGUAUCUAGCUCAAGGUUUGUAAACACACCAGUCAGCACCCUGUGUCUAGCUCAGGGUUUGUGAGUGCACCAAUUGACACUCUGUAUCUAGCUGCUCUGGUGGGGCCGUGAAGAACCUUUAUGUCUAGCUCAGGGAUUGUAAAUACACCAAUCGGCACUCUGUAUCUAGCUCAAGGUUUGUAAACACACCAAUCAGCACCCUGUGUCUAGCUCAGGGUUUGUGAGUGCACCAAUGGACACUCUGUAUCUAUCUGCUCUGGUGGGGCCUUGGAGAACCUUUGUGUGGAUACUCUGUAUCUAAUCUGAUGGGGACGUGGAGAACCUUUGUAUCCAGCUCAGGGAUUGUAAACGCACCAAUCAGCGCCCUGUCAAAACAGACCACUGGGCUCUACCAAUCAGCAGGACGUGGGUGGGGCCAGAUAAGAGAAUGAAACCAGGCUGCCCCAGCCAGCAGUGGCAACCCGCUUGGGUCCCCUUCCACACUGUGGAAGCUUUGUUCUUUUGCUCUUUGCAAUAAAUCUUGCUACUGCUCACUCUUUGGGUCCAUGCUGCUUUUAUGAGCUGUAACACUCACCACGAAGGCCUGCAGCUUCACUCCUGAAGCCAGCGAGACCACGAGCCCGCCGGGAGGAACGAACAACUCCAGAUGUGCCGCCUUAAGAGCUGUAACACUCACCGCAAAGGUCUGCAGCUUCACUCCUGAGCCAGCGAGACCACGAACCCACCAGAAGGAAGAAACUCCGAACACAUCCGAACAUCAGAAGGAACAAACUCCAGACACACCACCUUAAGAGCUGUAACACUCACCGCAAGGGUCCGCAGUUUCAUUCUUGAAGUCAGUGUGACCAAGAACCCACCAAUUCCAGACACAUUAGCACUGGCUCCUUUUUUUUUUAGACGGAGUCUCGCUCUUUUGCCCAGGCCGGAGUGCAGUGGCGCGAUCUCGGCUCACUGCAAGCUCCGCCUCCCAGGUUCAUACCAUUCUCCUGCCCCAGACUCCCGAGUAGCUGGGACUACAGGCACCCGCCACUGAACCUGGUUAAUUUUUUGUAUUUUUAGUAGAGAUGGGGUUUCACCGUGUUAGCCAGGAUGGUCGCUAUCUCCUGACCUCAUGAUCCGCCAGCCUCGGCCUCCCAAAGUGCUGGGAUUACAGGGGUGAACCACCGCGCCCGGCCUCACUCCUUUUUAAUUACGCAAAUAUCUCUAGCAAGUGGUUGCUCCACAGCCUGCUUGUAUCCCUCUUUUGAGAAAGCUUUUUCUUUCUUUGCCACAUGGGCAGACUACAAAAUUUCCAAACUUUUAUAUUCUGCUUCCCUUUUAAAUGUAAGCUCCAACUUUCUUCAUCAUUUCCAUCUGAGACUCAGCAGCUUGGAUCUCGCUGUCCAUAUCACUAUCAGCAUUUUGGUCACAACAAUUUAACCAGUCUCUAAGAAGUUUUAAACCUUCCCUCAUCUUCCUGUCUUUUUCUGAGCCUUCCAAACUCUUUCAGCCUCUGCCUGUUACAUAGUUCCAAAAUGACUUCCACAUUUUCAGGUAUCUUUAUAGUAAUUCCCCACCCCGGUGCCAAUUUUCUCUUAGAUUGCUAUACAGAAAUAGCUGAGACUGGGUAAUUUAUAAGAAAAGAGGUUUAAUUGGCUCAUGGUUCUACAGGCUGUACAGGAAGCAUAGCAGCAUCUGCUUCUGGGGAGGCCUCAGGAAACUUCCAAUCGUGGCAGAAGGCAAAGGGGAAGCAGGCACAUCACAUGGUGAAAGCAGGAACAAGGUCAGGGGGCAGAUGCUACACACUUUUAAAUGACUAGAUCUCGAGAGAACUGAAAAGACAGUACCAAGCUAUGAGGGAUCCACCCCCAUGAUCCAAACACCUCUGGGCAGGCCCCACAUUCAGCACUGGGGAUUACAAUUCAACAUGAGAUGUGGGUGGGGACAAAUAUCCAAACUAUAACAGCCUAUAAUUCACAUUUUAUCAUCAAAGGAGCAAAUAUUAUUCUUGGGGCAAAACUGAGUAAAUAUUGUCGUCCCACAUGGAUGUGAACUAUUUCUAGUCUCUUUCCUGAUAGAAGUAGGGGAAAAAAUGCAUUUACUAAAUCAGUGGCUGUGUAUUAUGUACCUCACACUUAGUACCCCUACUGUGUGCAGUCAUUGAGUGGAAGUAAACCAGAAAGUGGCCUCAGUGUGAGAACUGAGGUGGAUCCAAAAAUGGCAGCUGGCUGGGCAUGAUGGCUCACACCUGUAAUCCUAGCACUUUGAGAGCCCAAGGCAGGCAAAUCACUUGAGGUCAGGAGUUUGAAACCAGACUAGCCAACAUGGUGAAACCCUUUCUCUACUAAAAAUACAAAAAAUUAGCCAGGCGUGGCCGGGCACAGUGGCUCAUGCCUGUAAUCCCAGCACUUUGGGAGGCCGAUGCAGGCAGAUCACCUGAGGUCAGGAGUUCGAGACCAGCCUGACCAACACAGUGAAACCCCGUCUCUACUAAAAAUACAAAAACUAGCUGGGCAUGGUGGCUCGCCACUGUAGUCCCAGCUACUCAGGAGGCUGAGGCAGGAGAAUCACUUGAACCUGGGAGACGGAGGUUGUAAUGAGCCAAGAUUGCACCACUGCACUCUAGCUCGGGCUACGGAGCAAGAAUCUGUCUCAAAAAAAAAAGAAAGAAAGAAAGAAAGAAAGAAAGAAAGAAAGAAAGAAAGAAAAAGAAAAAAUUAGCCAAACAUGGUGGUUCAUGCUUGUAACCCCAGCUACUCAGGAGGCUGAAGCAGGAGAAUCGCUUGAACCUGGCAGGCAGAGGUUGCAGUGAGCUGAGAUUGUACCACUGCACUUCAACCUGGGCAACAGAGUGAGACUCCAUCCCCACUCCCCCACAAAAAAAACAGCAGCUAGAGGCUGGCCAGGGAACUAUGUUUCUCAUAGAGGCCUGCCUGCCUGCCUGCCUUCCUUCCUUCCUUCUUUCCUUCCUUCUCUGUUUUUCUUUGACAUGAAUUAAAAAAUAAUUUUCAUUAUG